GACGAACGCUGGCGGCGUGCCUAACACAUGCAAGUCGAGCGGAGCUAGUAGCAAUAUUAGUUUAGCGGCGGACGGGUGAGUAACGCGUGGGCAACCUGCCUACAGGGGGAUAACACAGGGAAACUUGUGCUAAUACCGCAUAACAUACUUAAGGGACAUCCCUUGGGUAUCAAAGGAGCAAUCCGGUAGAAGAUGGGCCCGCGUCCGAUUAGCUAGUUGGAGGUGUAACGGACCACCAAGGCGACGAUCGGUAGCCGAACUGAGAGGUUGAUCGGCCACAUUGGGACUGAGACACGGCCCAGACUCCUACGGGAGGCAGCAGUGGGGAAUAUUGCGCAAUGGGGGAAACCCUGACGCAGCAACGCCGCGUGAAGGAUGAAGGUCUUCGGAUUGUAAACUUCUUUAGUCGGGGACGAAGAAAUGACGGUACCCGAAGAAUAAGCCACGGCUAACUACGUGCCAGCAGCCGCCGUAA
RNAcentral lists this ribosomal RNA (475 nucleotides) under uncultured bacterium. RNAcentral's name for it is "partial 16S ribosomal RNA". It matches the Rfam family "Bacterial small subunit ribosomal RNA", at positions 28 to 523 of the family's 1533-position model. The record is from RNAcentral.